CCUACGGGAGGCAGCAGUGAGGAAUAUUGGUCAAUGGACGAGAGUCUGAACCAGCCAAGUAGCGUGAAGGAUGACUGCCCUAUGGGUUGUAAACUUCUUUUAUAUGGGAAUAAAAUGUUCCACGUGUGGGAUUUUGUAUGUACCAUAUGAAUAAGGAUCGGCUAACUCCGUGCCAGCAGCCGCGGUAAUACGGAGGAUCCGAGCGUUAUCCGGAUUUAUUGGGUUUAAAGGGAGCGUAGGUGGAUUGUUAAGUCAGUUGUGAAAGUUUGCGGCUCAACCGUAAAAUUGCAGUUGAUACUGGCAGUCUUGAGUACAGUUGAGGUGGGCGGAAUUCGUGGUGUAGCGGUGAAAUGCUUAGAUAUCACGAAGAACUCCGAUUGCGAAGGCAGUUCACUGGACUGCAACUGACACUGAGGCUCGAAAGUGUGGGUAUCAAACAGGAUUAGAUACCCGGGUAGUC
RNAcentral lists this ribosomal RNA (460 nucleotides) under uncultured bacterium. Its description in RNAcentral is "partial 16S ribosomal RNA". It matches the Rfam family "Bacterial small subunit ribosomal RNA", at positions 338 to 795 of the family's 1533-position model. The record is from RNAcentral.